CGUCGCGUCUGUUUCUGGGGCCUUCUCCCGCCCGCUGUCGCUCCGCCUACGUGCAGAGUCCGGUUGCAUGAGUUGCGCAAUCCGUAGCCGGGGAAGCGCUACGUGGAGACAGAACAGAGUGGAUGGCGAUCCCUGGAACUGGGGAGCUAGAGGGCGGAAGUUACUAAGAGAAAUAAACAAGUCAAAGAUCUCUGCCAUGUGCUGGGACUGAUGCCGAUUCUAGGAACGCAAAAAAGCCUGAGUGGCUUGUAAUGAGUUUGAGUAAUAUUUCAUUGGAAAAGACCCGGAUGCUGG
Molecule: non-coding RNA, 294 nt
Organism: Odocoileus virginianus texanus
Lineage: Eukaryota; Metazoa; Chordata; Mammalia; Artiodactyla; Cervidae
Source: RefSeq, a predicted model, not a curated record